RNAcentral lists this ribosomal RNA (253 nucleotides) under uncultured bacterium. RNAcentral describes it as "partial 16S ribosomal RNA". It matches the Rfam family "Bacterial small subunit ribosomal RNA", at positions 524 to 776 of the family's 1533-position model. The record is from RNAcentral.
UACGUAGGGGGCGAGCGUUGUCCGGAUUUAUUGGGCGUAAAGAGCGUGUAGGCGGCCAGGUAGGUCUGCUGUGAAAACUCGAGGCUCAACCUCGAGACGUCGGCGGAAACCAUCUGGCUAGAGUCCGGAAGAGGAGAGUGGAAUUCCUGGUGUAGCGGUGAAAUGCGCAGAUAUCAGGAAGAACACCCGUGGCGAAGGCGGCUCUCUGGGUCCCUACCGACGCUGGGGUGCGAAAGCAUGGGGAGCGAACAGG